AAAGUUCAGUCUUCAUAGUAUC
RNAcentral lists this microRNA (22 nucleotides) under Medicago truncatula (barrel medic). RNAcentral's name for it is "mtr-miR2669b". The record is from miRBase by way of RNAcentral. Lineage: Eukaryota; Viridiplantae; Streptophyta; Magnoliopsida; Fabales; Fabaceae.